UUGUCUCAGAUAAGGUGGAGAGAGCAAGAUGUCAAAAAGGUGACUUGGCAGCAAGGGUCAUUGGUGUCCUCAAAACAAAUUUCAGUGUAGAGGUUGUGGAGAGAAGCCAGAUUGAAGAGGGUUUCUAUAUGAAUUGGAAAGAGUGGAAGAAGAGCUACUGAGAAAUUUUGCUACAAAGCUGUGUUCGGCUAUUGGGAUCCUUAUUGGAAGAGAGGAGGCAGAUACUUGAUUCUUUCAUCUUUGCCAAGCAAGCAUGAAAAGAUACUGGGACUGGACUGUGAGGAUACACCAGCCAGCUGUAAAUGGUCUUGACCAAUGUGAACAUUUUUUCUUUGUUGAAAAUACUGCUCACCACACAGUGUUGAAGAUUAAAUGGGAGAAUUUAUAGUAAGCCUUUGAUAAAAGUCAUCUUAGAGCAGUCUGACAACUGAGGAAACCAAACGGGAAGGAUAGAAUCCAAUAAAAUACCAGUUUGGAACAGGUUUGAAAAUAUUUGGUUCCAAUUAUGGUUUUCAUACAGUGAUUGGUGAAAAUACUAAACCAAGAUGUGGACACAGGAUCAGGGGCUGGGUGGAUUCUCUUUGGUGGUUGGGAAGGAACUUGAGAAGGAAGGAGAAACUGGACUGAAGCUCAUGAGGUUCUACAGCAGUGGCGGCAGGCAUGAAUGAUCUUCCAGUCCCAGAGCGAGUCUGACGGAGCUCUGGAACCAGACUCCUGCUCUCAUCACUGCGCCAUCCUGUCAUCCUUUAUCAUCUGUCUAAGAAGCCUCAUUUCACAUUUUCCAAUUCUACUGUUCCUGAAGCAAAACAAAGUCAGUCACUCAGACCCUGCAGUAGGAUAAAGCAAAUGUGAAGGCACCACACCAAGUGCUUUACGUGCACUGUCUCAUUUGAUCCUCACAACCAGCCGAUGAGCAGGUCUACUAUUAUUCCUCGCUUGCAGUUUGGAAACUGAGGCUUGAAGGAUAAGAAACGUGUCCCAAACCUACAACAGGUAGAACCAAAAGUUAAGCACAGGCCCUGUGACUCCAGAGCUCAUGCGCUUCCCUGCGACACGGAUUGAGUAAAAGCAGACAGACAUUCCAGUUCGGUUGCAGUAGUGACUGAAGCAAAACAAUUGCUACAAAAGGACAGAAGCUUUCCCCCUACAUCUCUCUCUGGACUAUAACACAAGAUAUACUAGUAGUCUCAUUGGUGCUGAAUGGUGUAUUUUUCAAAGAAGUAGGCUCCUUUCUGACUAUAAUAAUUCAAACAUCGCCUUAUUUAAGGUAUGGAAAGCCAUUGAAAGGUGUGAAACAGGGAUGUGACAGGAUCUGAUCUACUGGCUCAGAGGACACUCUCAAUGGGUGAGAAAAAUAGAUCCAAAGAGGAACAAGGAAGAACAAGAGGGACCUUGGGAAGCCACUAUGGUUUCUGAGCUGUUUUUAUACCAUCCCAGAAGUUCGAUUACUUGGAUUGAAUCCUGGCUCCUCCACUUACCAGCUCCGUGAGGACUUGGACUAUGUUCCCAUCAUGACGAACAGCACCAGUCAGAAUAUGUAUACUGAUUAAUGAAUGAGGAUUGUGUUUGCCGCAGGUCUCUGAAGAUCAGGACACCCAUUUGUAAAAAGAUCGUCCUCAUGAAGACACCUGUGCUCUCAAUAACACAUCUCUCAUUAGCAAGAGGGAUAACAGAAAGAGAAGAGGCCAUUAGAAGGUGCACAGGACCCACCCCCUGCAUUCGCCUGAGCUCCCACGGGCAGGGAUUGUGUUUGUUUUCCUGGGGCAGUGCUUUGAGGUGCCUCCCUCCCUGAAACCCACAGUUCAGAAGGAAAGUGAGAGCAGGUGAGGGCCACCUACUGGAGGAUGAGAGACCAUGUAGCACAGAAUCGAGUCCUCCCAGCUGAGGCCAUCCUAGACCAGCCUGUUCCCAGCCGACCUGAGAGACCUGAGAGCUGACCACAGACGUAUAAGGACCAGCCAGGUGCCAGGCCCUGUGAGAAAUAAGGACCAAAUACCUGCUCACGAGAAGUGAUAUGCUAAUCGGGAAGGCUGUGUUCUAGAAAAUUUUGCAUGAUGAGAUGCAGGAAAAGGAUUGAGAAUGUUAUUGUGCCCUCUGCUUAAGGAUUAAAUCAGGUCCUGAUUUUUGGUUAUGGCUAGAGAAACCAAGAUGGCGG
This is a long non-coding RNA of Myotis myotis, 2155 nucleotides long. RefSeq lists it as uncharacterized. The transcript is spliced from 19 exons. The record is from RefSeq and is a predicted model, not a curated record. Lineage: Eukaryota; Metazoa; Chordata; Mammalia; Chiroptera; Vespertilionidae.